GACCCCAUGCCGAACUCAGCAGUGAAACGCCGUAGCGCCGAUGGUAGUGUGGGGUCUCCCCAUGUGAGAGUAGGACACUGCCA
RNAcentral lists this ribosomal RNA (83 nucleotides) under Photorhabdus luminescens. The record is from RNAcentral. Lineage: Bacteria; Pseudomonadati; Pseudomonadota; Gammaproteobacteria; Enterobacterales; Morganellaceae.